This 507-nucleotide ribosomal RNA is filed under the name uncultured bacterium. RNAcentral's name for it is "bacterial SSU rRNA". It matches the Rfam family "Bacterial small subunit ribosomal RNA", at positions 29 to 524 of the family's 1533-position model. The record is from RNAcentral.
AGUGAACGCUGGCGGCAGGCCUAAUACAUGCAAGUCGAACGGCAGCACAGUGGAGCUUGCUCCAUGGGUGGCGAGUGGCGGACGGGUGAGGAAUACAUGGGAAUCUGCCCAGUCGUGGGGGAUAACGUAGGGAAACUUACGCUAAUACCGCAUGCGCCCUUCGGGGGAAAGCCGGGGACCGUAAGGCCUGGCGCGAUUGGAUGAGCCCAUGUCGGAUUAGCUAGUUGGCGGGGUAACGGCCCACCAAGGCGACGAUCCGUAGCUGGUCUGAGAGGAUGAUCAGCCACACUGGAACUGAGACACGGUCCAGACUCCUACGGGAGGCAGCAGUAGGGAAUAUUGGACAAUGGGCGCAAGCCUGAUCCAGCCAUGCCGCGUGAGUGAAGAAGGCCCUCGGGUUGUAAAGCUCUUUUGUCCGGAAAGAAAAGCACUGGGUUAAUACCCCGGUGUCCUGACGGUACCGGAAGAAUAAGCACCGGCUAACUUCGUGCCAGCAGCCGCGGUAAA